Molecule: ribosomal RNA, 429 nt
Filed under: Bacteroidota bacterium
Lineage: Bacteria; Pseudomonadati; Bacteroidota
Description: Bacteroidetes bacterium partial 16S ribosomal RNA
Rfam family: Bacterial small subunit ribosomal RNA
Source: RNAcentral
UAGGGAAUCUUCGGCAACGGGGGGAACCCUGACCGAGCAACGCCGCGUGAGUGAAGAAGGUUUUCGGAUCGUAAAGCUCUGUUGUUAAGGAAGAACGAGUGUGAGAAUGGAAAGUUCAUACUGUGACGGUACUUAACCAGAAAGGGACGGCUAACUACGUGCCAGCAGCCGCGGUAAUACGUAGGUCCCGAGCGUUGUCCGGAUUUAUUGGGCGUAAAGCGAGCGCAGGCGGUUAGAUAAGUCUGAAGUUAAAGGCAGUGGCUCAACCAUUGUAGGCUUUGGAAACUGUUUAACUUGAGUGCAGAAGGGGAGAGUGGAAUUCCAUGUGUAGCGGUGAAAUGCGUAGAUAUAUGGAGGAACACCGGUGGCGAAAGCGGCUCUCUGGUCUGUAACUGACGCUGAGGCUCGAAAGCGUGGGGAGCGAACAGG